UAUAUUUUAUUGUAUGAUGCAUAAAAAAUUUUGAUUUUUUAGGAAAUAGUUUAAUUCUAUUAAAUAUAA
This 69-nucleotide transfer RNA is filed under the name Chinolyda flagellicornis. Its description in RNAcentral is "tRNA-Gln". RNAcentral also lists the same sequence under 1 other name. Lineage: Eukaryota; Metazoa; Arthropoda; Insecta; Hymenoptera; Pamphiliidae. The record is from RNAcentral.